This 72-nucleotide transfer RNA is filed under the name Deltaproteobacteria bacterium. Its description in RNAcentral is "tRNA-Trp". It matches the Rfam family "tRNA". Rfam says of the family: Transfer RNA (tRNA) molecules are approximately 80 nucleotides in length. Their secondary structure includes four short double-helical elements and three loops (D, anti-codon, and T loops). Further hydrogen bonds mediate the characteristic L-shaped molecular structure. tRNAs have two regions of fundamental functional importance: the anti-codon, which is responsible for specific mRNA codon recognition, and the 3' end, to which the tRNAs corresponding amino acid is attached (by aminoacyl-tRNA synthetases). tRNAs cope with the degeneracy of the genetic code in two manners: having more than one tRNA (with a specific anti-codon) for a particular amino acid; and 'wobble' base-pairing, i.e. permitting non-standard base-pairing at the 3rd anti-codon position. Lineage: Bacteria; Pseudomonadati; Myxococcota; Myxococcia. The record is from RNAcentral.
GGGGCUAUAGUUCAAUGGCUAGAAUAACGGUCUCCAAAACCGUUGAUCGAGGUUCGAAUCCUCGUGGCCCCG